This 435-nucleotide ribosomal RNA is filed under the name Semipallium dringi. Its description in RNAcentral is "partial 12S ribosomal RNA". It matches the Rfam family "Bacterial small subunit ribosomal RNA", at positions 874 to 1418 of the family's 1533-position model. Lineage: Eukaryota; Metazoa; Mollusca; Bivalvia; Pectinida; Pectinidae. The record is from RNAcentral.
AUUUAUUACCGAUGAAAACUUUGCUAUGGGAGUAGCUGCUUGAGUACUACGAGCGUGUGCUUAAAACUCAAAGAAUUUGGCGGCUCGUUAACUACCUAGGGGAAUAUGUGCCUUAAUCCGAUGAUACCCGUAUUAUCUUACUGCAUCUUGAAAAGGGUCAGUUGGUGUAUUGCCGUUGUCAGCUUGUUGUUGAGCAGAAAGAAACAGGCUUAAUGGAGUUAUUAAAAAAUUAAUAAAGUCCGCGAAUUCAGGUCGAAAUGCUGCCUAUGGUGCAGGGAGUAGGUAUUACAAUUUUAAACUUAAAAUAACGAAUCCUAUUAUUAUGAAAUUUUUAGGUGAAGGGGGACUUAGGAGUAAGAGAAAAUUAAUAUGUUUCUCUGAACGUGAAUCUAACUUGUGUACAAACCGCCCGUCGCUCUCGCCGGAAGGGGAGAU